GUCCUCAGCGACGGACCGGGCCU
Molecule: small nuclear RNA, 23 nt
Filed under: Arabidopsis thaliana (thale cress)
Lineage: Eukaryota; Viridiplantae; Streptophyta; Magnoliopsida; Brassicales; Brassicaceae
Description: snRNA_13571
Source: RNAcentral